AAAUUGGGGAAGGACGGUGACAAAUUAAGUGAUUUUAAUCACCUUAUAAUGGCAGGGUGAGUCAGAUAAUGAGCAAAGAUUGAAACCGAGCAGAAUCCUAUGGGGCCUUUCCAGAAACUAAGACUGCAACACAAGUGGAGGAUGCUGACCACAAGCCUGUAAACCCUCGACCAGGUGGAAGCAGAAGGCUGAUGACUGAGAUUCCUGAAACAUCACCCCUGCCCUCACCCCUAUUAUUGCCUUUUAAAACUCUUACCUGAAAGCCACUGGGAAGUUCAGGUCUUCAGGGUACAAGCUGCCCGUUCUCCUCGCCUGGUGCCCCGCAAUAAACGCUGUACUAUACCACAA
Molecule: long non-coding RNA, 348 nt
Organism: Bubalus bubalis (water buffalo)
Lineage: Eukaryota; Metazoa; Chordata; Mammalia; Artiodactyla; Bovidae
Exons: 2
Source: RefSeq, a predicted model, not a curated record